Molecule: small RNA, 84 nt
Filed under: Caulobacter vibrioides NA1000
Lineage: Bacteria; Pseudomonadati; Pseudomonadota; Alphaproteobacteria; Caulobacterales; Caulobacteraceae
Description: small non-coding RNA
Source: RNAcentral
AUCCGCCAAAGGCGGAGACCCGCGCCCCUCUGGAGGCGCGGUCGGUGGGGGACCAAGCGGCGUGAUCAGCGUCGCUUGGUCUGA